RNAcentral lists this long non-coding RNA (381 nucleotides) under Lathyrus oleraceus (garden pea). Its description in RNAcentral is "Pisum sativum (pea) long non-coding RNA (PSAT_LNC026340)". Lineage: Eukaryota; Viridiplantae; Streptophyta; Magnoliopsida; Fabales; Fabaceae. The record is from RNAcentral.
UGAAUAACACGACGGUAAAAGGGCUUUAUAUAAUCAGAUCCCCAUUUCAGUAAAUCCAAUUCUCUUCUCUUUCCCAUUUUCCUCUCCCUCAUUUCUCUUAUUUUCCGCUAUCUUUCACCAUUUCUCUUACUCCUUUCAAUAUUCCCAACCACACAAACUCUUUUUCUUUUUUUUUUCAAAGGUAUGUAUUAAAUUUAUUUAAUUUUAUUUUUCUACAAUGUUUGAUUUUCAUCUUAUUUCAUUUUUGUACAAUGUUUGAUUUUUAUCAUAUUUCCUGUUUUUCUUUUGUUAGUCAAGGAUAAGGCUCAAAAAGUAGAUAAGGCUAGACUUAAGAAGUUGCUCAAGAAAUUGAGGCUCAUUUAAGGUAUUUUUAAGUUGUUA